GGUUAAGCGACUAAGCGUACACGGUGGAUGCCCUGGCAGUCAGAGGCGAUGAAGGACGUGCUAAUCUGCGAUAAGCGUCGGUAAGGUGAUAUGAACCGUUAUAACCGGCGAUUUCCGAAUGGGGAAACCCAGUGUGUUUCGACACACUAUCAUUAACUGAAUCCAUAGGUUAAUGAGGCGAACCGGGGGAACUGAAACAUCUAAGUACCCCGAGGAAAAGAAAUCAACCGAGAUUCCCCCAGUAGCGGCGAGCGAACGGGGAGGAGCCCAGAGCCUGAAUCAGUGUGUGUGUUAGUGGAAGCGUCUGGAAAGGCGCGCGAUACAGGGUGACAGCCCCGUACACAAAAAUGCACAUACUGUGAGCUCGAUGAGUAGGGCGGGACACGUGGUAUCCUGUCUGAAUAUGGGGGGACCAUCCUCCAAGGCUAAAUACUCCUGACUGACCGAUAGUGAACCAGUACCGUGAGGGAAAGGCGAAAAGAACCCCGGCGAGGGGAGUGAAAAAGAACCUGAAACCGUGUACGUACAAGCAGUGGGAGCCUCUUUUAUGGGGUGACUGCGUACCUUUUGUAUAAUGGGUCAGCGACUUAUAUUCUGUAGCAAGGUUAACCGAAUAGGGGAGCCGAAGGGAAACCGAGUCUUAACUGGGCGUUAAGUUGCAGGGUAUAGACCCGAAACCCGGUGAUCUAGCCAUGGGCAGGUUGAAGGUUGGGUAACACUAACUGGAGGACCGAACCGACUAAUGUUGAAAAAUUAGCGGAUGACUUGUGGCUGGGGGUGAAAGGCCAAUCAAACCGGGAGAUAGCUGGUUCUCCCCGAAAGCUAUUUAGGUAGCGCCUCGUGAAUUCAUCUCCGGGGGUAGAGCACUGUUUCGGCAAGGGGGUCAUCCCGACUUACCAACCCGAUGCAAACUGCGAAUACCGGAGAAUGUUAUCACGGGAGACACACGGCGGGUGCUAACGUCCGUCGUGAAGAGGGAAACAACCCAGACCGCCAGCUAAGGUCCCAAAGUCAUGGUUAAGUGGGAAACGAUGUGGGAAGGCCCAGACAGCCAGGAUGUUGGCUUAGAAGCAGCCAUCAUUUAAAGAAAGCGUAAUAGCUCACUGGUCGAGUCGGCCUGCGCGGAAGAUGUAACGGGGCUAAACCAUGCACCGAAGCUGCGGCAGCGACGCUUAUGCGUUGUUGGGUAGGGGAGCGUUCUGUAAGCCUGCGAAGGUGUGCUGUGAGGCAUGCUGGAGGUAUCAGAAGUGCGAAUGCUGACAUAAGUAACGAUAAAGCGGGUGAAAAGCCCGCUCGCCGGAAGACCAAGGGUUCCUGUCCAACGUUAAUCGGGGCAGGGUGAGUCGACCCCUAAGGCGAGGCCGAAAGGCGUAGUCGAUGGGAAACAGGUUAAUAUUCCUGUACUUGGUGUUACUGCGAAGGGGGG
Molecule: ribosomal RNA, 1426 nt
Filed under: Escherichia coli
Lineage: Bacteria; Pseudomonadati; Pseudomonadota; Gammaproteobacteria; Enterobacterales; Enterobacteriaceae
Description: partial 23S ribosomal RNA
Rfam family: Bacterial large subunit ribosomal RNA
Source: RNAcentral